GACGAACGCUGGCGGCGUGCUUAACACAUGCAAGUCGAACGGAAAGGCCCUGCUUGCAGGGUACUCGAGUGGCGAACGGGUGAGUAACACGUGGGUGAUCUGCCCUGCACUUCGGGAUAAGCCUGGGAAACUGGGUCUAAUACCGGAUAGGAGCCAUUUUUAGUGUGAUGGUUGGAAAGUUUUUUCGGUGUAGGAUGAGCUCGCGGCCUAUCAGCUUGUUGGUGGGGUAAUGGCCUACCAAGGCGGCGACGGGUAGCCGGCCUGAGAGGGUGGACGGCCACAUUGGGACUGAGAUACGGCCCAGACUCCUACGGGAGGCAGCAGUGGGGAAUAUUGCACAAUGGGCGCAAGCCUGAUGCAGCAACGCCGCGUGGGGGAUGACGGCCUUCGGGUUGUAAACUCCUCUCGCUAGGGACGAAGCUUUUUGUGACGGUACCUAGAUAAGAAGCACCGGCUAACUACGUG
Molecule: ribosomal RNA, 465 nt
Filed under: uncultured bacterium
Lineage: Bacteria
Description: partial 16S ribosomal RNA
Rfam family: Bacterial small subunit ribosomal RNA
Source: RNAcentral